RNAcentral lists this ribosomal RNA (405 nucleotides) under uncultured bacterium. RNAcentral's name for it is "bacterial SSU rRNA". It matches the Rfam family "Bacterial small subunit ribosomal RNA", at positions 355 to 794 of the family's 1533-position model. The record is from RNAcentral.
UAGGGAAUAUUGGGCAUGGUCGGAAGACUGACCAGCCAUGCCGCGUGCAGGAAGAAGGCCUCUGGGUUGUAAACUGCUUUUGAAGGGAAGCGGUACCUGUAGAAUAAGCACCGGCUAACUCCGUGCCAGCAGCCGCGGUAAUACGGAGGGUGCGAGCGUUGUCCGGAUUUAUUGGGUUUAAAGGGUGCGUAGGCGGCUUAUUAAGUCAGUGGUGAAACCGACAGUUAACUGUUGAAUGCCAUUGAUACUGUGAGCUUGAGUGCAGACGAGGUAGGCGGAAUUGAUAGUGUAGCGGUGAAUCAUAGAUACUAUCAGGAACACCGAUUGCGAAGGCAGCUUACUAGGUUGCAACUGACGCUGAGGCACGAAGUGUGGGGAUCAAACAGGAUUAGAUACCCUAGUAGU